UACGAGUGCCCCGAGCGUUAUCCGGAUUUAUUGGGCGUAAAGAGUCUGUAGGUGGCUUUGUAAGUUGAUGGUUAAAUCAUAUGGCUCAACCAUGUGACCGCCGUCAAUACUGCUUAGCUUGAGGCUGGAAGAGGCAACUGGAAUUGCUGGUGUAGGGGUAAAAUCCGUUAAUAUCAGCAGGAACACCAAAUGCGAAGGCAUGUUGCUGGGACAGUUCUGACACUGAGAGACGAAAGCGUGGGGAGCGAAUGGG
This 253-nucleotide unclassified non-coding RNA is filed under the name Patescibacteria group bacterium. RNAcentral describes it as "contains 16S-23S intergenic spacer region". It matches the Rfam family "Bacterial small subunit ribosomal RNA", at positions 524 to 776 of the family's 1533-position model. The record is from RNAcentral.